GCUCCAAUAGCGUAUAUUAAAGUUGUUGCAGUUAAAAAGCUCGUAGUUGGAUUUUGGAAUAAGCUAGUUGGUCCGCCGCAAGGCGAGAACUGAUGGGCAUAUUCUUCCUCUCGAAGACGCUGCGUAUGGUUCAUUCCGUGUGUAGUGGGUUCGGGACUUUACUGUGAAAAAAUUAGAGUGUUCAAAGCAGGCUAUCGCUU
Molecule: ribosomal RNA, 200 nt
Filed under: uncultured eukaryote
Lineage: Eukaryota
Description: partial 18S ribosomal RNA
Rfam family: Eukaryotic small subunit ribosomal RNA
Source: RNAcentral